GGAGAGUUGUCCGAGCUGGCCGAAGGAGCACGAUUGGAAAUCGUGUAGUGGGUCAAAGCCUACUCGAGGGUUCGAAUCCCUUGCUCUCCGCCA
RNAcentral lists this transfer RNA (93 nucleotides) under Eubacterium sp. RNAcentral's name for it is "tRNA-Ser". It matches the Rfam family "tRNA". Rfam says of the family: Transfer RNA (tRNA) molecules are approximately 80 nucleotides in length. The record is from RNAcentral. Lineage: Bacteria; Bacillati; Bacillota; Clostridia; Eubacteriales; Eubacteriaceae. RNAcentral also lists the same sequence under 2 other names.